AACGAACGCUGGCGGCAUGCCUAACACAUGCAAGUCGAACGAGACCUUCGGGUCUAGUGGCGCACGGGUGCGUAACGCGUGGGAACCUGCCCUUAGGUUCGGAAUAACUCCCCGAAAGGGGUGCUCAUACCGGAUAAUGUCUUCGGACCAAAGAUUUAUCGCCUUUGGAUGGGCCCGCGUUGGAUUAGCUAGUUGGUAGGGUAAAAGCCUACCAAGGCGACGAUCCAUAGCUGGUCUGAGAGGAUGAUCAGCCACACUGGGACUGAGACACGGCCCAGACUCCGACGGGAGGCAGCAGUGGGGAAUAUUGGACAAUGGGCGAAAGCCUGAUCCAGCAAUGCCGCGUGAGUGAUGAAGGCCUUAGGGUUGUAAAGCUCUUUUACCCGGGAUGAUAAUGACAGUACCGGGAGAAUAAGCUCCGGCUAACUCCGUG
Molecule: ribosomal RNA, 433 nt
Filed under: uncultured bacterium
Lineage: Bacteria
Description: partial 16S ribosomal RNA
Rfam family: Bacterial small subunit ribosomal RNA
Source: RNAcentral